CACUAAGAAGCUAUGUAUACGCAACAGCCUUUUAAGCUGUAGACAGGUAAUUAACAUUACCCUUUGUGA
This 69-nucleotide transfer RNA is filed under the name Otophryne steyermarki. RNAcentral describes it as "tRNA-Lys". The record is from RNAcentral. Lineage: Eukaryota; Metazoa; Chordata; Amphibia; Anura; Microhylidae.